Molecule: long non-coding RNA, 6027 nt
Organism: Cyprinus carpio carpio
Lineage: Eukaryota; Metazoa; Chordata; Actinopteri; Cypriniformes; Cyprinidae
Source: Ensembl
UAAUGUUAUUUCACAGUACAUAAACUAUCUUAAAAAUAAAAACUGUAAAUAAAAAAAUGUAUUAGUAAAUAAUAUAUUAAAAAUAUUUUUUUAACUAAGCUUUAAUUAACAUAUGUGUGUGUGUUAAAUGAUAUAGUUAAAUAAUAUAGUCUUUAACAUUAGUACAAGCUAAGUAUUAACAACAUAUUUUUACAGCAUUUGUUUGUGUUAGUAAAAAAAAUUAUAUGUUAAUUCAUGGUACAGUAACUGAUGUACAUUAACUAUAAAUUUUAAUUAAUAAUGUAGUAAUCCAUUUUGAACAUAAUAUUAACUAAGAUUCAUAAAUGCUAUAUAAAUGAUGUACUUGUUAACUUAUAUAAUGUUAAAAACUAAAUCCUUAUUGAAAAGUGUUAGAAUAAUUUUAGAAUAAUAUAUAUAUAUUGUUCUGUGUGUGUGUGUGUGUGUGUGAGAAAGACAGAUAGAGAGAGACUCACAUUAAUAAAUGCCAUACAAUUGUUAAUGUAAUUUAAUAUAAUUAAUGUUAAUAACUGAAACCUUAUUGGAAGUGUUACUUAAGUUUUAUAUGUUGUGUUGUGUGUGUGUGUCUCUUGAUGGUUCGGAUUAACCCUUUCAUUGCUGUAUGCCUUAAUUCCAAACUGCUAAAUCAGGUGUGUCCAAUCCUGUUCCUGGCGAUCGACUGUCCUGCAAAGUUCAGCUCCAACUCUAAUCAGUCACACCUACCUUUAAUUUUCAAGCAAUCCUGAAGACAUUCAUUAGUUUCUUCAGGUGUGUUUGAGUAGGGUUGGAGCUAAACUUUACAGGACAGUCGAUCGCCAUUAACAGAGUUGGACACCCCUGAGCUAGACGGUUACUGUGUAUGUGCCGCUGGGCACAGCUUUCCUGAUGCCACCGGGGUGGCGUUUGCGCUGACGGCUCGGGCCCGCCAUCGCUGCUUGCAGCUAUAUUUAUUAUUAUUUUUAUUUUUUUUUAACCUUUCGGGGGUUUUGGAGGCCUUAACAUACUCAAAAACUCUUGAAAAUUGGCACACACAUUGGAACCUGCGGCCAUCAGGACGCCGCAGAGGCUGGGACCCGGGCUCUACGGCGCCCCCUGGAACACAGUCAGAAAUCUUGAACCAUAGCUCACACAUACUUGCAUGUAUUUAUAUAAAACUCUGUACACUUAUAGAUCUCAUUGAGCCGAACAACUUUCGCGCUCUAUGACAUAGGCUCCGCCCAACAGGAAGUCAGCUAUUCAGGGCUGUUUAAAAAAAGCAUGCUCUGGAAUUUGAAAUACUCCUCUGAGGACUUUCAACCGUUUGCCUCGAAACUCGGUGAACAUGAUCUCAAGACAUUGGGGAUGAAAAAUUGCCAGGGGAUUUUUGAUGUCUCGAACGGUUUGGCCGUGGCGAGGCGUUGAAAUUAGGGCAAAAAAUGAGAAACAGGAAAUGUCUAAUAACAUCCACAUACACUACCUGAGUUUUAUCAAACUUCAUCGGAUUGUUCGAUGUAUGAUGCCGAUCGCAUAUAUGUGACUAUUAGGAGUCAAAGUUAUAGCGCCACCAACUGGCAGCAGGAAGUGUGUCAUUUUCAAAAUGCUUUGAAUUCAGCAUCUUAUUUUCACUCGAUUUGCUUCAAACUUCAUCAGAAUAAUGACAAUACACGGCCGAUGUAAAUCUGUUGUGGGGAUAUUGAUAUCUAAUAUAGUGUUGCCAUGGCAACGUGUCAAUCUUGAAUAUUCUAUUCUGGUGAUUUUGAGGCAGAUAAAAUGCUCAGAAUUACAUGAAACUCAAAACACAUAUCAGUAUUAAUGAUAGCUAGACAAUGGAAAAAGCACAUGAAAGGGCGUGGAGGAGGCACUCUAUAGCGCCACCUUUUGUCAAAAGUCGGGGGGUUAGUUUUAGCUACAGACACCAAACUCGGUACAUAUAUUGUUCUUAUCAAAACGGACAACUUUCUAAUUUACAGUCAUCAGCUACGACCUACAGGAAGUCGGCUAUUUUGGUUUAAAUGUGGAUUUUUGGAAAAAUAUUGCUGUGAAUUAAUGCAUACUACUCAGAGGAAAAUUACACUAUACACACCAAACUUUGUCUACAUGAUGACAAAAUAUUGAGGAACCUAAAUUGCGAAUGGAUUUUGGAUAGCUUGAACGGUUUUGCCGUGGUGAUUUUUUGAAAUAACAGUAUAAAGGGAAACAUUACUUGUCUUGUAUUUUUUGAAACUGCAGCUUGCAAACACUUCAAAACCAUUUUUCAUACAGAGUAGAAGUCAUUCUGAGGAAAUAUGCAUAGUUUCACGACUUUACAACACUGUAUGGAUAACAGAAAAUUAAAAAACUGUCAGACAUCUGAUCUGACUCUGAGACCACUCUCUCUGUGUGAGGGUAGGGAGGGGGAGGGGGGGUGCUGGCUGAGAGAGGGACAGAGAGAGACAGAGAGAGAGUUAACAUCUCUUUAAUCACCAGGAAAAAAUAAAUAAAUCAGUAAUUGUGUGUUGUUGUUUUUUUUUUUAUCAUUACAGCUUAAGAAAUCUCUUAGGCCUUAUCCUUUUCUGUCAGUUUUAGGGACAAAAAAAACAUAGUACAAUUUGUAGGGCACAGACAACAUGAUUUUAAAUAAUUAGUUUAAGAAUUAUGUUAAUUGCAACAUAAAAAGAUAUAAAAAAAAAACGUAGACUUAGCUGUAAUGCAGGCAAAAAUAUUUUACAAAUGCUUAUAAAUCAAUAAAAUCAUUAAAAAUGCUUUUUCGUUGAGUGCAUAAUAAUUAGUCACAUUGAUAUUCUUAUAUUUUUUUCCAAGCACAUUUUACCAAUUCCAAAUCACAUCAAUCUUAAUAAAUACUAUACAUUUGGUAUUUAAUCAUUUAUGAGUGAUAUAUAAUUGUCCUUGAAGACUGGAAGUGAAAAACUCCUUAUAUUCAGGAGUGCUGAAUUAUUAGGCAUGUUUUCUUGUCAUGCAUUGGUCAUAGAGCUCAUUGUAGUGGUGCGUCGUGUUGAAAUAGAUUUUUAUACAUUAUACAGGUUCACACGUACUCCUCUGCAGUGCGUAUACAGUAUGUGUAUGCGGUGCAGAAGCAGCAGCGAGAGCGAGUUAUUGUAACGCGAAAGCACAUUAAAAUAAUGCGCGAGCGCGAAUCUAUCCGUUCGCACACAGAUUUCCUUUUCUUUGUCACAAAAACAGACACGCGUGCUCAUAUACAUGCUGCUCUCGCUCGGAGAGAGCGCGCGCACUUAAAACGCGUCUCAUCUGCUCAAACUGUGUCCUGCGAACUCACAACUCUAUCUGUGCUCAUGAGCUAGAUAUUCAUUCUUUUCGCACCUUUCUAUUUCUAACCUUUUUUGUUCACAUCCUUUACCGUGUGCAGUGUGAACGCUCUGAUCCAUUAACAUGGGCUCGGAAAAAAUACGCAUUAACAGACAGCGUGUGAACCUGGAUUUACGGAGGCAUAUGUUCUGUUCUCGCGCUCCAUUUAGGCGCCUUUCAUUCUGACUGGUUCAGAUAGCAACACCAAACGUGCAGUGUGUAAUACAAAUCAUGACCACCACUAGAUGGAGCUAUAGGAUUACUUUUAAAUAAUUGUUGUUGAAACGUGUAUAGAGCAUUUAAAUAAUUUAUAAAAAUCUUUCAAAGAAAAGUAAUAUGUAUUUUAAAACGCUAAUGAAUUUGACGGCUAAUAUAGUUUUAUAUAAUCAUUUCACAAAUGUUUAUAGAUCAUUAAAAGGAUUUUUAAAAAUGGUUAUAGAUCAUGAAGUGUUGGCAACAUUUUAUAAUAAGCUCUCUUUGGUUUACAUUAGUUAAUGCAUUAACAUGAACUAACAAUGAACAAUCUAUUUUUCAGAUAAUUUAUUAAUCUUUUUUAUGUUAGUUAAUCCUAUCAUUAAAAAUAUUAAUGUUAAUGUUAUUUCACAGUACAUAAACUAUCUUAAAAUAAAACUGUAAAUAAAAAAUGUAUUAGUAAAUAAUGUAUUAAAAUAUUUUUAACUAAGCUUUAAUUAACAUAUAUGUGUGUGUGUUAAAUGAUAUAGUUAAAUAAUAUAGUCUUUAACAUUAGUACAAGCUAAGUAUUAACAACAUAUUUUUACUGCAUUUGUUUGUGUUAGUAAAAAAAUAAUAUGUUAAUUAAUGGUACAGUAACUGAUGUACAUUAACUAUAAAUUUUAAUUAAUAAUGUAGUAAUCCAUUUUGAACAUAAUAUUAACUAAGAUCCAUAAAUGCUAUAUAAAUGAUGUACAUGUUAACUUAUAUAAUGUUAAAAACUAAAUCCUUAUUGAAAAGUGUUAGAAUAAUUUUAGAAUAAUAUAUAUAUAUUGUUCUUUGUGUGUGUGUGUGUGUGUGUGUGUGUGAGAAAGACAGAUAGAGAGAGACUCACAUUAAUAAAUGCCAUACAAUUGUUGUUAAUGUAAUUUAAUAUAAUUAAUGUUAAUAACUGAAACCUUAUUGGAAGUGUUACUUAAGUUUUAUAUGUUGUGUUGUGUGUCUCUUGAUGGUUCGGAUUAACCCUUUCAUUGCUGUAUGCCUUAAUUUCAAACUGCUAAAUUAAGUGUGUCCAGUCCUGUUCCUGGCGAUCGACUGUCCUGCAAAGUUCAGCUCCAACUCUAAUCAGUCACACCUACCUUUAAUUUUCAAGCAAUCCUGAAGACAUUCAUUAGUUGGUUCAGGUGUGUUUGAGUAGGCUAAACUUUACAGGACAGUCGAUCGCCAUUAACAGAGUUGGACACCCCUGAGCUAGAUGGUUACUGUGUAUGUGCCGCUGGGCACAGCUUUCCUGAUGCCACCGGGGUGGCGUUUGCGCUGACGGCUCGGGCCCGCCAUCGCUGCUUGCAGCUAUAUUUAUUAUUCUUCUUCUUCUUCUUCUUCUUCUUCUUCUUCUUCUUCUUCUUCUCCAAAAUGAAUCACAUUUUUGAGGGCCUAAACAUGCUCGAAAAGUCCUGAAACUUUGCACACGCGUCAGACCUGGUGAAAAUUUACGUCUGAUAUAGGUUUCAGAAGAGGGUGUGGCAAAAUGGCUCGACAGCGCCACCUAUCCCAAAAAAAUCAACAGCCCUCGAGCUGUGUUUCAGGUACAUGCACGAAAAUUGGCACACAUAUGUAAAGCAUCAGUACCUACAAAAAAGACUCUUGGAGCAAUAUCGGAAACCCAACAGGAAGUCGGUUAUUUUUAAUUUUAUGAGCAAAUUUUGCAUCAUUUUUGUCAUUUGCAUGCCUUGUAUUUUAACGAACUCCUCCUAGAGAUUUAUUCAGAUCAACACCAAAUUUGGUAUGCCUAAUCUAAAGGCCUUUGCGAUGUUAAAUUGCGAAGAUCUUGAGUUUUCGUUGAAGGGCGUGUCCGUGGCGGCCUGACGAAUUUCGAUGAUUCGCCAUGAAAAAUGAAGUUGCUAUAACUCAGACAUACAAUGUCCAAUCUGCCCCAAACUUCACAUGUUUGAUAAGACUCCUGACCUGAACAGAUUGAUAUGCCCAUAUUCAGUUAUAGUAAUAGUGCCACCUACUGGCAACAGGAAGUGACAUAUUUUACGCUGUAACAAACUACCCCGAGAAAUUUUAUGACAUAAAUUUUUUUUUUUCAGUCACUCUAUUCUAAAGGCCUGUGCGAUGUUAAAUUGUGAAGAUCUUGAGUUUUCGUUAAAGGGCGUGUCCAUGGCGCCGUCACAAAGUUCGAUGUCUCGCCAUGGGAAUAAAAGUUAUUGUAACUCUGGCAUAAAAUGUCCGAUCUUGCCCAAACUUCAAUGUUUAAUAAGAGUCCUGGCCUGAACACAUCUGAAGGCCAAUAUUCCAUUGGGUGUGGCAAAAUGCCUCGAUAGCGCCACCUAUACAUUUUCAAUGGAGUGCGCCUCGAGCUACGUUUCACGUACAUGUACAAAAAUCGGUACACACAUGUAACACACCAACACCUACGAAAAAGUCUCUUGGUACGAAAUUCGAAUCCCAACAGGAAGUCAGUUAUUUUGAAUUUUCUCUGCAAAAUUUGUGUCGUUUUUGCCAUUUUCAGGGGUUGUACUUUAACGAACUCCUCCUAGAGAUUUAUUCAGAUCAACACCAAACUUUGUCAGU